This is an unclassified non-coding RNA of Otolemur garnettii (small-eared galago), 102 nucleotides long. It matches the Rfam family "Y RNA". From Rfam's summary of the family: Y RNAs are components of the Ro ribonucleoprotein particle (Ro RNP), in association with Ro60 and La proteins. The Y RNAs and Ro60 and La proteins are well conserved, but the function of the Ro RNP is not known. The record is from Ensembl. Lineage: Eukaryota; Metazoa; Chordata; Mammalia; Primates; Galagidae.
GGCUGGUCUGAAAGAAAGCAGUGACUUGAUUGUUCACAGGUCCCUUACAGAUUGAACUCCUUGUCCCUCCCCCUUCUCACUACCGUACUUGACUAGUCUUUA